UACGGAGGGUGCGAGCGUUGUCCGGAAUCACUGGGCGUAAAGGGCGCGUAGGUGGCGCGGGAAGUCAACGGUGAAAGCUCAGGGCUCAACCCUGAGUCGGCCGUCGAUACUCCCGGGCUCGAGCACUGUAGAGGCAGGUGGAAUUCCGGGUGUAGCGGUGGAAUGCGUAGAGAUCCGGAAGAACACCGGUGGCGAAGGCGGCCUGCUGGGCAGUUGCUGACACUGAGGCGCGACAGCGUGGGGAGCAAACAGG
RNAcentral lists this ribosomal RNA (253 nucleotides) under uncultured bacterium. RNAcentral describes it as "partial 16S ribosomal RNA". It matches the Rfam family "Bacterial small subunit ribosomal RNA", at positions 524 to 776 of the family's 1533-position model. The record is from RNAcentral.